This 253-nucleotide ribosomal RNA is filed under the name uncultured bacterium. RNAcentral's name for it is "partial 16S ribosomal RNA". It matches the Rfam family "Bacterial small subunit ribosomal RNA", at positions 524 to 776 of the family's 1533-position model. The record is from RNAcentral.
UACGUAGGGUGCAAGCGUUAAUCGGAAUUACUGGGCGUAAAGCGUGCGCAGGCGGUUAUGUAAGACAGGUGUGAAAUCCCCGGGCUUAACCUGGGAACUGCAUUUGUGACUGCAUAGCUAGAGUACGGUAGAGGGGGAUGGAAUUCCGCGUGUAGCAGUGAAAUGCGUAGAUAUGCGGAGGAACACCGAUGGCGAAGGCAAUCCCCUGGGCUAACACUGACGCUCAGGCACGAAAGCGUGGGGAGCAAACAGG